CCCUCACGGUGGAUGGGCUGAAGGGGCUGCACGGGCCUGCCCUGGGGAUCUUGGCUUCUGUAUCCUGCCUUGCCCCACCCCUGCCUUGAGUCUGGGCACUGACGCAGCUCUCCCUGCAGCGCUGCCUGGAAGAGGAGUAUAUGAGGCCUUGCCACCCCUCUGAGGCAGCCCUGGAGCCCACCCUGGCAGAGCUAAAGGAACAGAAGAAGGCCAUGGAGCAGGAGCUGCAGGCAUCUGUGGGGCCUUCUUGUGUCUCUCCCAACCACAGGUAAACCACAACAGUAGACACAGGGCAGGGUGGACUGAAGGAUCAGACCACCACCCCUCACAGUUACUCUUUCUUGUCCAGGCAGCGGCCCUUGGGGUCCUCCACACAGGGCCUCAGACCCCCGCGUCCCCUCUGCGGGGUUGCACCUCUCCAGUGCUGCCUGCCUGCACCUCCUCUGGAGCCCUACCUUCGACCUCGAGGCCAGUCAGCUACCCACCGCUGGGGAUGGCAGCUUCAGUGCAGCCCCAGGGAAGGGCCAGCUUCCACACCCAUGUCCAGUGCAGCACCCCAAGCCCCAGCCUGAAGGGCUGGUCACCGAGUAGGCUCUGGCUUCUGCCACAGCGCACCUG
Molecule: long non-coding RNA, 618 nt
Filed under: Pan troglodytes (chimpanzee)
Lineage: Eukaryota; Metazoa; Chordata; Mammalia; Primates; Hominidae
Description: long non-coding RNA NONPTRT000231
Source: RNAcentral